UACGUAGGGCGCAAGCGUUGUCCGGAAUUAUUGGGCGUAAAGAGCUCGUAGGCGGUCUGUUACGUCCGCUGUGAAAACCCAGGGCUUAACCCUGGGCUUGCAGUGGAUACGGGCAGACUAGAGGCAGGUAGGGGAGAAUGGAAUUCUCGGUGUAGCAGUGAAAUGCGUAGAUAUCGAGAGGAACACCAGUGGCGAAGGCGAGUCUCUGGACGACUCCUGACACUGAGGCACGAAAGCUGGGGGAGCAAACAGG
RNAcentral lists this ribosomal RNA (253 nucleotides) under uncultured bacterium. Its description in RNAcentral is "partial 16S ribosomal RNA". It matches the Rfam family "Bacterial small subunit ribosomal RNA", at positions 524 to 776 of the family's 1533-position model. The record is from RNAcentral.